GACGAACGCUGGCGGCGUGCUUAACACAUGCAAGUCGAACGGAAAGGCCCUGCUUUUGUGGGGUGCUCGAGUGGCGAACGGGUGAGUAACACGUGAGUAACCUGCCCUUGACUUUGGGAUAACUUCAGGAAACUGGGGCUAAUACCGGAUAGGAGCUCCUGCUGCAUGGUGGGGGUUGGAAAGUUUCGGCGGUUGGGGAUGGACUCGCGGCUUAUCAGCUUGUUGGUGGGGUAGUGGCUUACCAAGGCUUUGACGGGUAGCCGGCCUGAGAGGGUGACCGGCCACAUUGGGACUGAGAUACGGCCCAGACUCCUACGGGAGGCAGCAGUGGGGAAUAUUGCACAAUGGGCGGAAGCCUGAUGCAGCAACGCCGCGUGCGGGAGGACGGCCUUAGGGUUGUAAACCGCUUUCGCCUGUGACGAAGCGUGAGUGACGGUAAGGGGUAAAGAAGCACCGGCUAACUACGGGC
Molecule: ribosomal RNA, 469 nt
Filed under: uncultured bacterium
Lineage: Bacteria
Description: partial 16S ribosomal RNA
Rfam family: Bacterial small subunit ribosomal RNA
Source: RNAcentral